CAGACCGCCGUGCUCAACCAGUCAAAGUUCACAAAGUUCACAGGUGGUGGAACAGAACCCACGGGUGGUGGAACAGAACCUAGCACAUGACUAACCUUAUUCUGAGAUCUUUCCCCUUUCACAAAAAAAAACUUCUACCAUUCUUCAACAGCUCACAAAUUUCAUUGACUAGAUCGCCAUACCUGGAAGCAUGAUGCUCCGUCUCUUGUCCUGCCACCAAGAC
This 223-nucleotide long non-coding RNA is filed under the name Brachypodium distachyon (stiff brome). RNAcentral's name for it is "long non-coding RNA (BDIS_LNC000612)". Lineage: Eukaryota; Viridiplantae; Streptophyta; Magnoliopsida; Poales; Poaceae. The record is from RNAcentral.